UAGUCAAACUUAGAAUAGUUGGAC
This 24-nucleotide microRNA is filed under the name Oryza sativa (Asian cultivated rice). RNAcentral's name for it is "osa-miR5831". The record is from miRBase by way of RNAcentral. Lineage: Eukaryota; Viridiplantae; Streptophyta; Magnoliopsida; Poales; Poaceae.